Molecule: long non-coding RNA, 1466 nt
Organism: Triticum dicoccoides
Lineage: Eukaryota; Viridiplantae; Streptophyta; Magnoliopsida; Poales; Poaceae
Exons: 4
Source: RefSeq, a predicted model, not a curated record
GAUCGUGUUCUUCCCCUUGCCAGAUUCUGUACCAGUGCAGCCGCCUGGUGCUAUUGUUAAGGUCCAGCGAGCUCAAGAACUGAUCUCAGAUCUUCACCAAAAUCAGUAUUCUCUCUCUCUCUCCCUCUUCUGUACCACUCCAACAGGCAAAAUAGUGCCUUGAUUUCGUCUUUCGCAGCAGUGCCUCGUUGUGAGGGCAUACUCAAUCUACCACUAACGCCGCCGGUGGCACUAUCCAACUACAGCAGCUCAAGGAUCUAGAUCUAGGUCUGUAUGCUUCUUCUCAAAAGGCAUCUUUUUAUUGAUUAAGAUUUGGAAUAGUGCGCUGUCAGCACAAUAUUUAGGUAUGAGCUACGAGUAUAUUUCUACGAUCUUCAUGCAAAUUACAAGGGAUGCACUCCCUGUUUGGAUCCUUUAUUCGUAAACAAUAUGAAACAGAACUUGUACUUUACAAUGUUCAACUGAACUUCGUGAAAGCAUUAACAAGUUCAUCUUCCUGAUUUUAUUAUCUACAGUAGUUCAUCUUUUGGACAAAACUGGUUUUUUUCAGUCUCCUAUAUACAAUGUAUACUAAACCAUGACUUGCAGAAUGUCGGUGUUCCUUACAAUCCAUUGCAAAACCUCAUAUAUUGUUCCCUAUAAUUUGUUUGAAAAAACAUGAUAUAGUAGUGAACUGACCUUUUUAUUCUAUAAAUGCGAUACUUUGGGAUCCCUGUUUUAUCUGGUAGCAAAUUUUUAGUAAAAGACAAUCCAAUGUUAGUUUCGCAUAGAGGAUAGAGCUGCCUAUGAUUGCUUAUGUGAUUGCUAUGAGAUUCAUAACCUAUGUUAGUUUCAAUGGAUUUGCAAGAUGGGGUGUCACUCCAAAGUUUGGCUUGGCUCAUUACUAUGUUGGAAGGUCAUUAUGGAGUCUUAUUGCCUGGAGCUGGUAAAUCUGUUGAAGAUGUGGACCGCGAACAGGGCUGCAAUUCUUCAUGUUCUUAUGCAAAUCAGAAGCUGCUUUUGACAUUGACAAGGCAGCUGCAGUGAAGAAUGACAUAUCAAGAUUACUUACAUACAUAUUGUCAGGCCACAUAAGCCUCUUCCGCGACCACUCAUUGAUUCAGGACCAUCUUUCAUGCUCCAACAAUAGUUUUCCUUUGAUCUUCAAAUCGAUUAGUUGAAGGCAUGACCGGAUAAUCUUCAGAGUAGGAGUCAUCUUCAUAUGUCUCCUAGUUGGCAGCUCAUGAAACUGAUAAUGUCACCUCCCAUACUAGUACAGAUCAUGUCUGGUUGUCUCAGACUCCGAUUUUUCUGGAACCAUGUAAUCAGCAAGAAAGUACACUUGGUAACAAAUUUAGUAUGCGGCUUGUUUGUAGUUUAGAAGGGCGGUUGCUGUACAAUUGAUGUGUAUGCUUGUGAUGUCUCAAUGUAAAAGACGUGAUGUUCUUCCAUGGAAGCUUCUAAAGAUCUUUGGUUCAGUUGCAAAA